This 246-nucleotide ribosomal RNA is filed under the name uncultured Thermus sp. RNAcentral's name for it is "partial 16S ribosomal RNA". It matches the Rfam family "Bacterial small subunit ribosomal RNA", at positions 1140 to 1382 of the family's 1533-position model. The record is from RNAcentral. Lineage: Bacteria; Thermotogati; Deinococcota; Deinococci; Thermales; Thermaceae.
CUAACGGGACUGCCCGCGAAAGCGGGAGGAAGGAGGGGGACGACGUCUGGUCAGCAUGGCCCUUACGGGCCUGGGGCGACACACGUGCUACAAUGCCCACUACAAAGCGAUGCCACCCGGCAACGGGGAGCUAAUCGCAAAAAGGUGGGCCCAGUUCGGAUUGGGGUCUGCAACCCGACCCCAUGAAGCCGGAAUCGCUAGUAAUCGCGGAUCAGCCAUGCCGCGGUGAAUACGUUCCCGGGCCUU